Molecule: ribosomal RNA, 497 nt
Filed under: uncultured bacterium
Lineage: Bacteria
Description: bacterial SSU rRNA
Rfam family: Bacterial small subunit ribosomal RNA
Source: RNAcentral
AGAGUUUGAUCAUGGCUCAGGAUGAACGCUAGCGGAGGCCUAACACAUGCAAGCCGAGCGGUAUUGUUUCUUCGGAAAUGAGAGAGCGGCGUACGGGUGCGGAACACGUGUGCAACCUGCCUUUAUCUGGGGGAUAGCCUUUCGAAAGGAAGAUUAAUACUCCAUAAUAUAUUGAACGGCAUCGUUUAAUAUUGAAAGCUCCGGCGGAUAGAGAUGGGCACGCGCAAGAUUAGCUAGUUGGUGAGGUAACGGCUCACCAAGGCGAUGAUCUUUAGGGGCCUGAGAGGGUGAUCCCCCACACUGGUACUGAGACACGGACCAGACUCCUACGGGAGGCAGCAGUGAGGAAUAUUGGUCAAUGGGUGCAAGCCUGAACCAGCCAUCCCGCGUGAAGGACGACUGCCCUAUGGGUUGUAAACUUCUUUUGUAUAGGGAUAAACCUACCCUCGUGAGGGUAGCUGAAGGUACUAUACGAAUAAGCACCGGCUAACUCCGUG